GCUUGUCUCAAAGAUUAAGCCAUGCAUGUCUAAGUAUAACUCUUUUACUUUGAAAACUGCGAACGGCUCAUUAUAUCAGUUAUAGUUUCUUUGAUAGUCCCUUACUACUUGGAUACCCGUAGUAAUUCUAGAGCUAAUACAUGCAUCAAUACCCAACUGUUCGCGGAAGGGUAGUAUUUAUUAGGUAUAGACCAACCCUCUUCGGAGGUGCUUUGGUGAUUCAUAAUAACUUUUCGAAUCGCAUGGCUCCAUGCCGGCGAUGGAUCAUUCAAGUUUCUGCCCUAUCAACUGUCGACUGUGAUAUAGACGCUCACAGUGGUUUUGACGGGUAACGGGGAAUCAGGGUUCGAUUCCGGAGAGGGAGCCUUAAAAACGGCUACCACAUCCAAGGAAGGCAGCAGG
Molecule: ribosomal RNA, 402 nt
Filed under: uncultured Tintinnidium
Lineage: Eukaryota; Ciliophora; Spirotrichea; Tintinnida; Tintinnidae
Description: partial small subunit ribosomal RNA
Rfam family: Eukaryotic small subunit ribosomal RNA
Source: RNAcentral